UGCUCAGCACUAGCCCCAUAAACAAACAAAACAACCUCAACUCUAAACUAAACCAUUUUAACAGAUGAGUAUAGGCGAUAGAAAGUCCACACCGGCGCAAUAGCGACAGUACCAUAAGGGAAACCUGAAAGAACACUUUUAAAAUUAAGCAAAAAAAAGCAGGGAUUGCCCCCCGUACCUCCUGCAUCAUGGUUUAGCAAGCAACCCCAGAUUAAGAGUACUUAAAUCUGCCACCCCGAAUCCAGUCGAUCUACUUCAAGACAGUCAGGAACCCUGACUAACCCGUCUCUGUGGCAAAAGGGUGGGAAGAUCCUGAAGUAGCGGUAAAAAGCCAAUCGAGUCUGGCGAUAGCUGGUUGCUCAAUAAACGGAUUUUAGUCCAACUCUAGUCUUAACCCCAACCACCCAACCACUUGGCCAAACGUUUUAACUAGAAGCCCUACAACAGAGGUACAGCCCUGUUGUAAUCGAUUACAUUCGAAACUAGAGAGCACACCCCAACCCACCCACCUGUAGGCCUUAAACCAGCCACCAUUAAAAAUCGCGUCAAAGCACCAACCCGACAAAUCCCCAACAAAACCACCCACUCCUAACCCAAACUGAGCCAACCUAUACAAUAGAAGAACUACUGCUAAAACUAGUAAUAAGAAACAAUCUCUCGACACACUCUUAAGUCAGACACUAACUGCCAACAAUUAACAGACUCCAACAGAGCACAACAGCUAAAAAUUCAACCCCCUACCAAAUAAACUGUUUCGCCAACACAGGUGUGUCAAAAGAAAGAUUAAAAGCCAAAAAAGGAACUCGGCAACCUACGUCCCAACUGUUUACCAAAAACAUAGCCUUUAGCAGCCCCAGCAUUAAAGGUCCCGCCUGCCCAGUGACCUAGUUAAACGGCCGCGGUAUCCUAACCGCGCAAAGGUAGCGCAAUCACUUGUCUUCCAAAUAAAGACCCGUAUGAACGGCUAAAUGAGGACUCAACUGUCUCUUCUGGCCAAUCGAUGAACCUGAUCUUUCAGUACAAAAGCUGAAAUACAACCAUAAGACGAGAAGACCCUGUGGAGCUUAAGUUAAACUGUCAAUCCACCCCAUAUGACACCACACUUAAGUUGGGGCAACUUUGAAAAAACAAAACUUUCAAGACAUUAACCGACAACCAGGCUAACAAGCCUACCUGCCAACUAAAACGACCCAGUAAGACUGACCAACGAACCAAGUUACCCCAGGGAUAACAGCGCAAUCCUCUUCAAGAGUCCAUAUCGCCAAGAGGGCUUACGACCUCGAUGUUGGAUCAGGACACCCCAGUGGUGCAGCCGCCACUAACGGUUCGUUUGUUCAACGAUUAACAGUCCUACGUGAUCUGAGUUCAGACCGGAGAAAUCCAGGUCGGUUUCUAUCUAUGCACCGUUUUCCCUAGUACGAAAGGACAAGGAAAACAAGGCCCAUACCACUUUAGCACGCCUUCACAACACUUGCAAACAACUCAAUAACUAAAUUAACCCAGCCCAAGACAAGGGCACAUCC
This 1523-nucleotide ribosomal RNA is filed under the name Hemitheconyx caudicinctus (African fat-tailed gecko). RNAcentral's name for it is "16S rRNA". It matches the Rfam family "Bacterial large subunit ribosomal RNA", at positions 200 to 2826 of the family's 2925-position model. The record is from RNAcentral. Lineage: Eukaryota; Metazoa; Chordata; Lepidosauria; Squamata; Eublepharidae.